GUUAAAGGUACCCGUACCGCAAACCGACACAGGUGGGUGAGGAGAGUAUCCUAAGGCCAGCGAGAGAACUGUUGUUAAGGAACUCGGCAAAAUGACCCCGUAACUUAGGGAUAAGGGGUGCCACCAUCAGGUGGCCGCAGAGAAUAGGCCCAAGCGACUGUUUACCAAAAACAUAGGUUUCUGCUAAGUCGCAAGACGAUGUAUAGGAGCUGACGCCUGCCCGGUGCUGGAAGGUUAAGGGGAUCUGUUAGAG
This 253-nucleotide ribosomal RNA is filed under the name Clostridioides difficile. RNAcentral describes it as "partial 23S ribosomal RNA". It matches the Rfam family "Bacterial large subunit ribosomal RNA", at positions 1631 to 1895 of the family's 2925-position model. The record is from RNAcentral. Lineage: Bacteria; Bacillati; Bacillota; Clostridia; Peptostreptococcales; Peptostreptococcaceae.